GCUUGUCUCAAAGAUUAAGCCAUGCAUGUCUAAGUAUAACUCUUUUACUUUGAAAACUGCGAACGGCUCAUUAUAUCAGUUAUAGUUUCUUUGAUAGUCCCUUACUACUUGGAUACCCGUAGUAAUUCUAGAGCUAAUACAUGCUGUAAGCCCGACUUUUCGGAAGGGCCGUAUUUAUUAGAUAACAGACCAAUGCCCCCCCGGGCUUUGUGGUGACUCAUAGUAACUAAUCGGAUCGCAUGGGCCUGUCCCGCGACAAACCAUUCAAGUUUCUGCCCCAUCAGCUUUCGAUGGUAGUGUAUUGGACUACCAUGGCUUUUACGGGUAACGGAGGAUUAGGGUUCGAUUCCGGAGAGGGAGCCUGAGAAACGGCUACCACAUCUAAGGAAGGCAGCAGG
RNAcentral lists this ribosomal RNA (398 nucleotides) under uncultured Strobilidiidae. RNAcentral describes it as "partial small subunit ribosomal RNA". It matches the Rfam family "Eukaryotic small subunit ribosomal RNA", at positions 30 to 432 of the family's 1831-position model. The record is from RNAcentral. Lineage: Eukaryota; Ciliophora; Spirotrichea; Choreotrichida; Strobilidiidae.